GGCAAGGCAUGGUCUGGAUAUACCUGAAAUCCCUACCUGAGAGCCUGAGAUGGGUGGAUCACUUGAGUUCAGGAGUUCUGAGCUGCAGUAAAUUUAACCAUUCCAGUGUUUGUAUUAAAUUCUGUGGCAAUAUGGUAAGCCACUAGAAGUGGGGGCCAUCUGGCUGUCUAGGGAGGAGUAAAUCAGCCUGUGUCAGAAAUGGAGCAGGCCAAAACUCCUGUGCUUUUCAGUAGUGAAAUCAGGCCUGUGAGAGACAACUGAUGUUCUAGCCUGGGAAAGAUAGAUUGAAUCUGA
Molecule: non-coding RNA, 294 nt
Filed under: Phascolarctos cinereus (koala)
Lineage: Eukaryota; Metazoa; Chordata; Mammalia; Diprotodontia; Phascolarctidae
Source: RNAcentral